RNAcentral lists this ribosomal RNA (460 nucleotides) under uncultured bacterium. RNAcentral describes it as "partial 16S ribosomal RNA". It matches the Rfam family "Bacterial small subunit ribosomal RNA", at positions 338 to 795 of the family's 1533-position model. The record is from RNAcentral.
CCUACGGGAGGCUGCAGUGAGGAAUAUUGGUCAAUGGACGAGAGUCUGAACCAGCCAAGUAGCGUGAAGGAUGACUGCCCUAUGGGUUGUAAACUUCUUUUAUAUGGGAAUAAAAUGUUCCACGUGUGGGAUUUUGUAUGUACCAUAUGAAUAAGGAUCGGCUAACUCCGUGCCAGCAGCCGCGGUAAUACGGAGGAUCCGAGCGUUAUCCGGAUUUAUUGGGUUUAAAGGGAGCGUAGGUGGAUUGUUAAGUCAGUUGUGAAAGUUUGCGGCUCAACCGUAAAAUUGCAGUUGAAACUGGCAGUCUUGAGUACAGUAGAGGUGGGCGGAAUUCGUGGUGGAGCGGUGAAAUGCUUAGAUAUCACGAAGAACUCCGAUUGCGAAGGCAGUUCACUGGACUGCAACUGACACUGAGGCUCGAAAGUGUGGGUAUCAAACAGGAUUAGAUACCCUUGUAGUC